CGGAGGUGCGAGCGUUAUCCGGAAUUACUGGGUUUAAAGGGUGCGUAGGCGGCUGUGUAAGUCAGGAGUGAAAGUUUGCGGCUCAACCGUAAAUUGCUUUUGAUACUGCAUGGCUAGAAUUAGGAUGAGGUCAGCGGAAUGUGGCAUGUAGCGGUGAAAUGCAUAGAUAUGCCAUAGAACACCAAUUGCGAAGGCAGCUGGCUAGACCUGGAUUGACGCUGAGGCACGAAAGCGUGGGAGCGAACAGGAUU
Molecule: ribosomal RNA, 251 nt
Filed under: uncultured bacterium
Lineage: Bacteria
Description: partial 16S ribosomal RNA
Rfam family: Bacterial small subunit ribosomal RNA
Source: RNAcentral